Long non-coding RNA from Bos taurus (domestic cattle), 2427 nucleotides. The record is from Ensembl. NCBI's taxonomy places the organism in Eukaryota, Metazoa, Chordata, Mammalia, Artiodactyla, Bovidae.
CCGUCAUUUGUCUAUGCAGCAUGCAUGCGGAUCAGCAUGGUGUUCACUCCUGUUCAUCUCGGCAUCCUAGUUCAGCUGCGUCCUGAGCAACGUCAUCACCCAGCACCUUGAACCUCUGAACCCAGUGCACGUGCUCUGGCCCCAGCCUCCUAACUUCCUGUCCUGCUGAACUGGAUCCCUGGAUAAAGCACAGAAUUCUGCUUCUAAGUCCCAGGUCUUGGCACGGCUUCCUAACCAGGAGCCUCACUCCACCUCUGUUCUCCACACCUGAGCAGGCAACAAACCCGGCCAAACCCCAGUUGAGAUGAGCCCUGGUAUUGGAGUCAGGAAACUGGUGGGGCCAGGGGCACAUCAUAGCCUUUGAGGGCCUCCGUUUCCCCAUCUGUACCUGGGCGAAUACAAGUUCCUCCUUCUCAGGGUGUGUGUGGGAAUUAAACUGGACAUCUGCGGAAGCACUUUGUAAACAGCACGCAGGGAGGUAGUUGUCACUUGGGAAGCGUACGCCCCCCUAAUGGAUGCUGAAGAGGCACCAUCCCCUCAGACUGACGUGUUAGUCAGGGUUCUGCAGAGUAGAACCAAUUCAAUGUGUAGCUCAUUCUGAAGGCCAGCAGGCUCGUGGCCCAAGUGGAGCCAAUUAUUUAGUUCUGGUCUAAAGGCAGGAGAAAUCAGAGCCCCAGCUCAAGCUGUCAGGCAGGAGGAGUCUUCUCUUUCUCAGCCUUUUUUUGAUUGGUCCUCAAUGGAUUGGAUUGGAUGAUCCCCACCCACACUGGAGAAGGAAAGCUGCUUUACUCAGUCUACAGAUGCAAACGCUAGUCUCAUACAGAAACACCCUCACAGACACUCCCAGAAUCAUGUGUGAGCCCAGGUCUGGGCACUCGGGCCUAGUCAAGUUGACACAUAAAAGUAACCAGCAUGACAGGGGACAUUGAAUUUCCAAGGUCCUUGGAGCCACGUGGAGAUGGAAGAAGUAAGGAACCAAGAGGAACACCUCCCAGUCCACACAUCACAAUCCACUCCAGAUGGACCACAGAGGAAGACAAGACUGUAAGCCUCCGAGAGGAAAAUCACUUGACCCAAAAUACCAAGUAGUGUUGGUCAGGAUCAAGUCCACAGCCUGGAUCCUGACUUGUCAUCUUGGGGUCCCUGGAGCAGUAUUAUCAGCGUCACCCCAGAGCUUGUAAGAGAUGCAGAGUCCACACCCAAGACCCCCGAGUGACAUGUGUGCUCAUGAAGGGGCCAGCGGUGACUUGGGCAUGGCUACCUUGGGGGUUGUAACUCGUGAGGCACGUGCGGGGGACCAGGAGCUUUACAGCUUUUACAAGAUGCUUCACGUGCUUUAUCUCAUUUAGCAUUCGCAAGUGUUGAAUACAAAGCAGGUACUUUAGUCCCAUUUUGCUGAUGGAGAAAGGGGAAUAUACUUGACCAAAGUCACACAGAUAAUAGAUGAGAUUUCAACCUAGCUUUGUCUAAUGGCUAAAAGUGAGCUUACAGCUAUUAGAGCCAAUAUUAUCUCUAAUGCCAGUGACUUUUUUUUAAGUUAAUUUUUGCUGGAGUGUAGUUGAUAAGCAAUGUUGUGUUAGUUUCUGCUGUAGAGCAAAGUGAAUCAGUUACAUAUACAUAUAUACAUCCUUUUUUAGAUGUUAAUCCCAUAUAGGUCAUUACAGAAUAUUGACUAGAGUUUCCUGUGCCAUACAGUGAUUUCUCUUAUUAAUCGUUACUUACUUUAUAUAUAGUAAUGUACAUAUGUCAACCCCAAUCUCCCAAUGUAUCCCUUUCACCCACUCUUUCCCACCUGGCAACCUUAAGUUUGUUUCUACAUCUGUGACUCUAUUUCUGUUGUGUAAAUAGGCUCAUUUGUACCAUUUUUUAGAUUUCACAUAUCAAUAAUAGCAUAUGAUAUUUGUCUUUCUCUGUUGAUUUACUUCACUCACUAUGACAAACUCUAGGCCCAUCCACAUUGCUGCAAAUGGCAUGUUUUAUUAUUUUUUAUGGCUGAUAGUGUUCUGUUGUAUAUAUGUACCACAUCUUCUUUAUUCAUUCUUUCAGCAAUAGACAUUUAGGUUGCUUCAGUGGCCUGGCUAUUGUAAAUACCAAGUUUUUAACCACAGGUAGAACCAAAGAUGUCUUCAGUAUCUUUCUAAAUAUAUUACAUUCCUUCCCUCUUAAAUUAAGUAGCUGAAACUUAAUGUCACUUUUUUCAAAAUUAUAAAUGUCAUAAUGAAUGUCUAUUAUUUUAGAAUACAAGGAGAUCCUAAGGAAGUAUGCAGAGCUGUUUUUCCCUUUACUGAAUUAACACAGUCUCCUGGAUUAUUAAAUAAACUUUUCAUUUUAGAAUAUUUUUACAUGUAUAGGAAAAUUGCAAUGACAGUACAGGACUUCCCAUAUACCCUGUACCAAGGUUCCCCUGUUAUUCAUAUCUUAUACGAG